This 301-nucleotide ribosomal RNA is filed under the name uncultured bacterium. Its description in RNAcentral is "partial 16S ribosomal RNA". It matches the Rfam family "Bacterial small subunit ribosomal RNA", at positions 509 to 807 of the family's 1533-position model. The record is from RNAcentral.
CAGUCGCCACGGUAAUACGAAGGGGGCUAGCGUUGUUCGGAAUCACUGGGCGUAAAGCGCACGUAGGCGGAUUUUUAAGUCAGGGGUGAAAUCCCGAGGCUCAACCUCGGAACUGCCUUUGAUACUGGAGAUCUUGAGUUCGGAAGAGGUUGGUGGAACAGCUAGUGUAGAGGUGAAAUUCGUAGAUAUUAGCUAGAACACCAGUGGCGAAGGCGGCCAACUGGUCCGACACUGACGCUGAGGUGCGAAAGCGUGGGGAGCAAACAGGAUUAGAUACCCCGGUAGUCCCUGUCUCUUAUAC